CACCCGCAGGUGCCGGGACACUCACCGCAGAGGAAUACAACUUUAGAACCAUUUUCACGUAACUACUGAGAUUCUCUCAUAGACGUAACCGUGUCAUACAGUGGACAACAUUAUUCCCUUACAUACACACGAUCGGGAAAACCCCCUCCUUUGUCACGUAUUUAAAAGUUGGGAUUGGCUGGCAGCCUGCCACCAGAGAAGAGUCCCCACAAUCUCUUUUUCCUUUAGGAAGGGCGGCCGCGCCGAGCACAGCUGCUUUGGACAGAGGCCUCGCAGGGAGCGCAAAGGGCUGGAAGUGAUCUCGGCACCUUAAGGAACUCUGUGCGCGGCCCGGGCGCACGCAAACGCUCAGGCAUCAGAAACGAGGGGCGGCGGGCGGAGCUGGGGCCUCCGGCCACACGCGUGCAGCGGAGGGACAUACGCAGGUCUUCGCCGGCACCGAUGCCUCACAGGCUGGUGGCUGGCGGUCACUUACGGGCCGAGGAACUGCCGACCGUCCGCACAGCCGCAGCAGACGCCUCCCCGCGUGAGAAGGGCCCGGGCUGGGCCCACGAGGAAACUCGAAAGGAGUCAGCGGGGUAUUUUCCAAUAGCUGGAGAAAGCCCUCAGCCUGGAGCCCUGCUCACAGUGGGGGUGUGGGAGCCACGAGCCACCUGUGACAACUAACCCUGAAAUCAAUUAAAAGGAAAAUGAAAACUUGGCUCCUCGGUUGCACUGGCCACACGUGAGCAGGGAAAAGCCCUCUCAAGUAGAGUCGACUCUCUGCUGCACACACGGAUUAAUCUGACCGAGUUUGCCUGCAGAAUGGGCAUGAGAACCCUGAAGUGCAGCCAGCCCAUGGUCGGAGCGCGGCCCUCCCCUUCUGCCCCGUCCACGGUCGACGCUGGCAGCGGCGGGGGCCGCCGGAGAAAUGAGGGAGCCUCACCCCGCCCGUCCGCUCCGAGCUGCUCCAGGACCCGCCUUCCCUCCUCACCCCCACCCU
Long non-coding RNA from Bubalus bubalis (water buffalo), 982 nucleotides. RefSeq lists it as uncharacterized. The record is from RefSeq and is a predicted model, not a curated record. NCBI's taxonomy places the organism in Eukaryota, Metazoa, Chordata, Mammalia, Artiodactyla, Bovidae. The transcript has 3 exons.